This 865-nucleotide ribosomal RNA is filed under the name Bacillus sp. (in: firmicutes). RNAcentral's name for it is "bacterial SSU rRNA". The record is from RNAcentral. Lineage: Bacteria; Bacillati; Bacillota; Bacilli; Caryophanales; Bacillaceae.
UCUGGCUCAGGACGAACGCUGGCGGCGUGCCUAAUACAUGCAAGUCGAGCGGACAGAUGGGAGCUUGCUCCUGAUGUUAGCGGCGGACGGGUGAGUAACACGUGGGUAACCUGCCUGUAAGACUGGGAUAACUCCGGGAAACCGGGGCUAAUACCGGAUGGUUGUUUGAACCGCAUGGUUCAGACAUAAAAGGUGGCUUCGGCUACCACUUACAGAUGGACCCGCGGCGCAUUAGCUAGUUGGUGAGGUAACGGCUCACCAAGGCRACGAUGCGUAGCCGACCUGAGAGGGUGAUCGGCCACACUGGGACUGAGACACGGCCCAGACUCCUACGGGAGGCAGCAGUAGGGAAUCUUCCGCAAUGGACGAAAGUCUGACGGAGCAACGCCGCGUGAGUGAUGAAGGUUUUCGGAUCGUAAAGCUCUGUUGUUAGGGAAGAACAAGUGCCGUUCAAAUAGGGCGGCACCUUGACGGUACCUAACCAGAAAGCCACGGCUAACUACGUGCCAGCAGCCGCGGUAAUACGUAGGUGGCAAGCGUUGUCCGGAAUUAUUGGGCGUAAAGGGCUCGCAGGCGGUUUCUUAAGUCUGAUGUGAAAGCCCCCGGCUCAACCGGGGAGGGUCAUUGGAAACUGGGGAACUUGAGUGCAGAAGAGGAGAGUGGAAUUCCACGUGUAGCGGUGAAAUGCGUAGAGAUGUGGAGGAACACCAGUGGCGAAGGCGACUCUCUGGUCUGUAACUGACGCUGAGGAGCGAAAGCGUGGGGAGCGAACAGGAUUAGAUACCCUGGUAGUCCACGCCGUAAACGAUGAGUGAAGUGUUAGGGGGUUUCCGCCCCUUAGUGCUGCAGCUAACGCAUUAAGGCA